Hydra vulgaris (swiftwater hydra) is the source of this 591-nucleotide non-coding RNA. NCBI's taxonomy places the organism in Eukaryota, Metazoa, Cnidaria, Hydrozoa, Anthoathecata, Hydridae. The record is from RefSeq and is a predicted model, not a curated record.
AAAUGAGGGAUUCAAUCAAAGAAACGUAUCCAAAUCUUUUAACAUAUGGGUGUUCUGCACAUUAUUUAAACCUUUUAGAAAAAGAAGUAACACACCCAGAUGUCAUCAAACAUGUGGUUGAAGUGCAGAAAUAUUUUCGUAAUACACAUUAACCGCAUGGAUGGUUGCGUGAGAAAGGAGGGCAUAUGCCUCAGUUACCAAACGAUACUUGAUGAAACUCCCAAAUUGACUGUAUAGAAACAUACAUAAAAAACUACCAAAUUUAUGUAGAAAUAGUAGAUAAUCAUGAUAUACCUAUCAAAAUCAGAAAAAUUAUUGAAAAUCGAGCAAUAUUUAGAGAAGCUAACAGUCUUCAAACCCAACUCAAAAUAUUUGGUGUUGUUUUAGAUCAAAUGCAAAGUGACAGCUGUCACCUAUCCGAAUGUGUUGAGUUGUGGCUCUCACUUUUGAAUAACCCUGAACUAAGUCAUUACCACACAGCUAUCAAAAAGAGAUGUAAUGAUGCUAUGACACCUAUCCAUUAUCUUGCGACCAAUCCUCGCUUUUUGGGUAAAAAUAAGUUUUGCUUAAAAAAAAAAUUGUUUUGAAAAA